Molecule: ribosomal RNA, 253 nt
Filed under: uncultured bacterium
Lineage: Bacteria
Description: partial 16S ribosomal RNA
Rfam family: Bacterial small subunit ribosomal RNA
Source: RNAcentral
UACGGAGGGUCCAAGCGUUAUCCGGAAUCAUUGGGUUUAAAGGGUCCGUAGGCGGUUUUGUAAGUCAGUGGUGAAAGCCCAUCGCUCAACGGUGGAACGGCCAUUGAUACUGCAAGACUUGAAUUAUUGUGAAGUAACCAGAAUAUGUAGUGUAGCGGUGAAAUGCUUAGAGAUUACAUGGAAUACCAAUUGCGAAGGCAGGUUACUAACAAUAUAUUGACGCUGAUGGACGAAAGCGUGGGUAGCGAACAGG